RNAcentral lists this long non-coding RNA (1012 nucleotides) under Marmota monax (woodchuck). Lineage: Eukaryota; Metazoa; Chordata; Mammalia; Rodentia; Sciuridae. The record is from RNAcentral.
CAGAAUUUAAAACCUUCCUGUGGAUCUAUUUUUGUUUUUAUUUUAUUUUCUAUCUUAUUGUCUUGCAUCCUGUGUCUCGUUAUGUUCAGUUACUUGCCAAUAUUGUAUAUGAAAACUUAUAGAAAUAAUUUGAUGCCCAGGAUGAUAUUUUCUGUUUUUACCAGAUACUUGAGCACAGAUUACUUAGGACCAUUUUGAUCCAGUUCCAGAGACUGAGACUUUUCUGGGCCUGCUGUGUGAUUCAAACAUGAACUACUAGACUAUACUUGCACUGUGACUUCCUUCCUGUUCACCCUUACUCUUAAGUUUCCGCCAUUCUACAUUCUGUAGGAUCAGUUGAGGUUACCAGAGCCUCUGUCUGUUAACUGACCUGUGAUCUACCUUUGAAUCCCUAAACUAGAACCAAGGCUCCACGCAGCUAGCUUCUCAGUGACUUCUUGCAAAUGUAUAUGUAAGUCAUCUCAGGACACAAUAGUUCCAAAUAAAAUGUUUACAAUUCUGAAUAUCUAUGUUCUCCCAUGUAUUACCCUGGGAACUUGUUUACUAACAUCAACUCCAAUGUUUUCCCAUGUUUUUAAGAAAUAUACUUUAUCCAAAUUUUCUAAAGCAUUCUAAUUAGAAUGUUAAUGCAAAUUAUCUAGCCCACAUAAUUUCAUAACUUGAUUAUGUGUAAAUUACAGUUGAUUUCUUUGUAUUGCUUUUUCAUUUGAAAACGUUUUAAACUCUUUAGUAAUUCUUGUAAAUUAUUUGCAGUACUUUUUUUUUUUUUUUCUCUAUAUCAUCUUAACUUCAAAAAGGACAGUUUAGUCAGGUGCAAUGGUGCUUGCCUGUAAUCAGUGACUUUGGAAGCUGAGACAGCUUCAAGGCAACUUGGCAAGACAAAAUGUUUCUAAAAAAAAAAAAAAUUUUAAGAAAGGCCUGAGGACUUAAUAAAGUGCCUCUGGGUACAAUCCUCGGUACCCCACACACACAAAGCAUAGUGACAGUUUAGUCUUCUACUCUUCAAAUUCGG